RNAcentral lists this transfer RNA (68 nucleotides) under Marmota monax (woodchuck). RNAcentral's name for it is "tRNA.Ala". The record is from RNAcentral. Lineage: Eukaryota; Metazoa; Chordata; Mammalia; Rodentia; Sciuridae.
GGAUUGUGGCUCAGUGGUAGAGCACUUGCUUAGCAUGUGUGAGGCCUUGGGUUCAAGUCUUAGCACCA